This 638-nucleotide long non-coding RNA is filed under the name Lynx pardinus (Iberian lynx). The record is from RNAcentral. Lineage: Eukaryota; Metazoa; Chordata; Mammalia; Carnivora; Felidae.
CUUCAGAGGUAUAUACUUGUCUCUGCAAGGCUGGGGGUCCAUCUCAGAAGAGAAAUAAUAUUUACUUUCAAAACAGGUCUACAAAGCAAACAAAGCCUCAGAAAACGUACAAUAUUCAAAGUUGUGCUAAGAGAGGAGGGGAAAGGAAUUUAAUUUAGAAGGCCUUUGUGUGUGUGUGUGUGUGUGUGUGUGUAUGUGUGUGUGUGCGUGUGUCUAACAGAAAAUACCACAUGGUCCAGCUCUCCAGGAUCACUAGGUAGGUGGAUUGUUCAUUUCGGUCCCGGUAACAAAGGACAGCCUGGGCAAAGGGUCCUUUCUCACUGCAUGGGGGAAGAAGUGGGAAUCCUUUACCGUGACCACCUGCUUCCUUCGCUUCAAACCGGCACAGAAAGUGCCAAAUACCCGUAUAUCAUUCUCGGCGCGGAGCCCACGGUAUAAACCAACGUAGGCGGUGCACUAGAUAACAUCAAAGCCCCAGGCAGGGGCCAGAAAAGGGGGGGGGGGGCAAAGCAGCCGAGGGAAUGAAGCGCCUCCCCCUAGCAUUUCCUCUCACGCCCACUUCCAACCUAGGAGGCUUUUGGUUUCUGCUUUUGUUGUUUUUAAAAUUAAAAGUUAAACCCAGGAAGCUUUGGAUCAGA